UUGGGAUAAAAGGGGAUCGAGACCAGGGGAAAAAAUAGAGUCUGGGUGGGCGGCGGCGGCGGUGAAGCUCUCCGAUUUUUCUGGAUUUCCCCGUCUUGCCGGUUGACAAGUAAGAAAGCACUGCAUUUAGAAAGAAAUUUUAUUCCAUUGGAUUUACUAGCUAGCGGCAGGACAUACAGAUAUUCGAUGAACACCCGCAGGCUGCCAAUCUUCACCAACGAGGCGGCAAGCGCUGCGGCCCUAAUGGAGUUGAUUGGUGCCUCGGGGCGCGGAGACGAUGUAUCGGCCAAUGGAUCCAGGGGGGCUGGCGGUGGAUUUGGUCAAGGGUCAUAUACUCAUGUGGGCAGAUGUUGAAUGGUGCGGCGUGCAGCGAGGAGAGAACUGUAGCUGGUGGUGGCGCCGCCAUGUCCGGUUUCAGCGAGAGCGAGGGUGACAAUGGAGAAGCUCUUGACGAGGCGGAGGGGGAAGCACACUUUGAUGGAGACCAAGAGGCUGUGAUUCAAGAUCAAACUGAUAGUGCUGAUGGAUGUUCUGCUCAAUCUACAGGCAAGGUGGAUCCGCAAGCACCUGGCUGGACAAAAAGAGUAAGAGUCGGCAAUCAACCGCCAGACAGGGCUCCAUGCCCGGCAAGGGUAGGCGCUGAUGCAGUUUCCUCAUAGUCCACGGGCAAGAUGGAUCCGCAAGCGCGAGGGUGGACUAAAAGGGUUAGAGAUGGGUAAGCAUCCACCGUACAGGACUGGGAGGAUCGGUGCACUGGAGCAAACAAUCGUGGGGGUAUGUGGAUAACUUGGGAGAGCAUGUUUGGGAGCGGAUCAUACACAGCGGGGAGUGUGCUGCCGCAGCCUGCUAUGCUAGAUGCAGGGGUGAACAUCCCAUGCAGACCAGCAUCUGGUUCACAGGUAGGAGGGCGGCCAGUGUGGCGGCAGAAAUCUGCGGCAGCCCUACGGUAAGUGAGAGUGAAGCCGACAAUGGAUACGUCGCCUCUGCCACUGGAGUUGGAGACGUGGUGGACGGCGACCAGCUAGCUGUGAUUCACGAGCGCGGCGAGAGUGAAGAUGCAGCAUCAGCACAAUCAAUGGGAAAGAUGGAUCCGCGGGCACUUGGGUGGACGAGAGGUAUCAGUAAUCUGAUAGGCUGUAAAUACUCUAAAUGUGGAGGUUGUUGAUUAUGCCUGAAUGAGUGAAUAAUAGUGAAUGGUUGUGGUCGAAGCUGACAUAGUGGAAGAUCAGUGUAGAUGCCGAUAGCUUGAAGGGAGUGGUGGUAUAGUUCAGUUGAAAAUUCAUGAAAUCUCUGAAUAAUAAACAUGCAUGUCUGAAAAUACAGAAACACAAUAAUUUUUAGGUGCGUCAUGCUUGCUACGCAGCUGUUCUGAAAAAAUGAGUCUAAUUUUAGAAUUUAAAAGAUGGGUACCUUCAGUUGGUGUAGAUUUCGCAGAAUAUGGAUUGAGUCCGGAUGUGUGCUGCAAUUUUGGUAGCUACCUGGCUGUACUCAAUAGUGGUCAGGACGGCCGCAAGACGGCGCAGGUAACGGCGACAUGGCACAUGAGGGCGUCUCUCCGUCUGGACCAACGGCUAUGAGACGCAUGUGGGUGCAUUAAAUGUCAGCAGUGGUGCAGCUUUGCAGUGUUCCAUAAAUCAAUCGAUGCUACCGAAUACGCUCAGUAUACAACACCUGUCUUGCAUCACGAGGAGAACUUGUGUGGUCCAGAUUUUAGGAGCAAAUACACAGAGCCGAAUUGCAUUUCCGGGCUUGACCACUGUUUGCUGGACUGUUGCAGCUAUUCAAGGUUUUUUUGCUCACCAGUUAUGUGCUUCCGCACUAAUCAUUUGUUUCUUCUGAUUGAGCUAAACAAUGUAUGCUUUCCUCCCAAGAAAGCCUGACAGUUUGUGGAGAUUAAUACAAAACGUUGUGCUAUUGACAUUAAAGUUGGUCAAUGAAAUUACAUACCUAUGUUUCCAAUUGCAUUUUUUCAGACAUGAUAUGGUAAUGUUCAGAGUAUAUGGCACAAGAUGAUGGUGCUGCUCUAAGCAAAGGACCUGAAGAAUUCUCUUGAUAGAAGCUCAAAAGGUAAUAAAGCACAUAAAUAAGUUUGCAGUUUAUCCGGUGUGUCAAGAACUAUCAAAAACCAUAUCCAUUUGUUUUGUAUAGACAUAUUUAUCUGCUGAAUAUGCAGCAGAUAAAUAUGUCUAUACAGAGUGUUUGAUCAGCUGGCAAGCAGUG
Triticum aestivum (bread wheat) is the source of this 2220-nucleotide long non-coding RNA. RefSeq lists it as uncharacterized. Lineage: Eukaryota; Viridiplantae; Streptophyta; Magnoliopsida; Poales; Poaceae. The transcript is spliced from 3 exons. The record is from RefSeq and is a predicted model, not a curated record.